UACAUAACUCCGCCUGUAGCCCUUCUAGAGUUACUGCCGGUCCCAAGCCCGGGUAAAGGAGGAGGGUUGAA
Schistosoma mansoni is the source of this 71-nucleotide non-coding RNA. The record is from Rfam. NCBI's taxonomy places the organism in Eukaryota, Metazoa, Platyhelminthes, Trematoda, Strigeidida, Schistosomatidae.